GACGAACGCUGGCGGCGUGCUUAACACAUGCAAGUCGAACGGAAAGGCCCUGCUUUUGUGGGGUGCUCGAGUGGCGAACGGGUGAGUAACACGUGAGUAACCUGCCCUUGACUUUGGGAUAACUUCAGGAAACUGGGGCUAAUACCGGAUAGGAGCUCCUGCUGCAUGGUGGGGGUUGGAAAGUUUCGGCGGUUGGGGAUGGAUUCGCGGCUUAUCAGCUUGUUGGUGGGGUAGUGGCUUACCAAGGCUUUGACGGGUAGCCGGCCUGAGAGGGUGACCGGCCACAUUGGGACUGAGAUACGGCCCAGACUCCUACGGGAGGCAGCAGUGGGGAAUAUUGCACAAUGGGCGGAAGCCUGAUGCAGCAACGCCGCGUGCGGGAUGACGGCCUUCGGGUUGUAAACCGCUUUCGCCUGUGACGAAGCGUGAGUGACGGUAAUGGGUAAAGAAGCACCGGCUAACUACGUGCCAGCAGCCGCGGUGAUACGUAGGGUGCGAGCGUUGUCCGGAUUUAUUGGGCGUAAAGGGCUCGUAGGUGGUUGAUCGCGUCGGAAGUGUAAUCUUGGGGCUUAACCCUGAGCGUGCUUUCGAUACGGGUUGACUUGAGGAAGGUAGGGGAGAAUGGAAUUCCUGGUGGAGCGGUGGAAUGCGCAGAUAUCAGGAGGAACACCAGUGGCGAAGGCGGUUCUCUGGGCCUUUCCUGACGCUGAGGAGCGAAAGCGUGGGGAGCGAACAGGCUUAGAUACCCUGGUAGUCCACGCUGUAAACGGUGGGUACUAGGUGUGGGGUCCAUUCCACGGGUUCCGUGCCGUAGCUAACGCUUUAAGUACCCCGCCUGGGGAGUACGGCCGCAAGGCUAAAACUCAAAGGAAUUGACGGGGCCCCGCACAAGCGGCGGAGCAUGCGGAUUAAUUCGAUGCAACGCGUAGAACCUUACCUGGGUUUGACAUGGAUCGGGAGCGCUCAGAGAUGGGUGUGCCUCUUUUGGGGUCGGUUCACAGGUGGUGCAUGGCUGUCGUCAGCUCGUGUCGUGAGAUGUUGGGUUAAGUCCCGCAACGAGCGCAACCCUUGUUCACUGUUGCCAGCACGUUAUGGUGGGGACUCAGUGGAGACCGCCGGGGCCAACUCGGAGGAAGGUGGGGAUGACGUCAAGUCAUCAUGCCCCUUAUGUCCAGGGCUUCACGCAUGCUACAAUGGCUGGUACAAAGAGUGGCGAGCCUGUGAGGGUGAGCGAAUCUCGGAAAGCCGGUCUCAGUUCGGAUUGGGGUCUGCAACUCGACCUCAUGAAGUCGGAGUCGCUAGUAAUCGCAGAUCAGCAACGCUGCGGUGAAUACGUUCCCGGGGCU
This 1346-nucleotide ribosomal RNA is filed under the name uncultured bacterium. Its description in RNAcentral is "bacterial SSU rRNA". It matches the Rfam family "Bacterial small subunit ribosomal RNA", at positions 28 to 1381 of the family's 1533-position model. The record is from RNAcentral.